This 427-nucleotide ribosomal RNA is filed under the name uncultured bacterium. Its description in RNAcentral is "partial 16S ribosomal RNA". It matches the Rfam family "Bacterial small subunit ribosomal RNA", at positions 355 to 774 of the family's 1533-position model. The record is from RNAcentral.
UGGGAAAUAUUGCACAAUGGGCGCAAGCCUGAUGCAGCCAUGCCGCGUGUAUGAAGAAGGCCUUCGGGUUGUAAAGUACUUUCAGCGGGGAGGAAGGGAGUAAAGUUAAUACCUUUGCUCAUUGACGUUACCCGCAGAAGAAGCACCGGCUAACUCCGUGCCAGCAGCCGCGGUAAUACGGAGGGUGCAAGCGUUAAUCGGAAUUACUGGGCGUAAAGCGCACGCAGGCGGUUUGUUAAGUCAGAUGUGAAAUCCCCGGGCUCAACCUGGGAACUGCAUCUGAUACUGGCAAGCUUGAGUCUCGUAGAGGGGGGUAGAAUUCCAGGUGUAGCGGUGAAAUGCGUAGAGAUCUGGAGGAAUACCGGUGGCGAAGGCGGCCCCCUGGACGAAGACUGACGCUCAGGUGCGAAAGCGUGGGGAGCAAACA